RNAcentral lists this ribosomal RNA (300 nucleotides) under Oscillatoria sp. NTMS04. Its description in RNAcentral is "bacterial SSU rRNA". It matches the Rfam family "Bacterial small subunit ribosomal RNA", at positions 459 to 760 of the family's 1533-position model. The record is from RNAcentral. Lineage: Bacteria; Bacillati; Cyanobacteriota; Cyanophyceae; Oscillatoriales; Oscillatoriaceae.
GAGGAACACAAUGACGGGUCCCGAGGAAUCAGCAUUGGCUUACUUCGGGCCAACAACCGCGGGAAAGCGGAGGGAGCAAGGUUUUACCGGAAAUAUUGGGGGUAAAGGGGUCGUAGGGGGCUCUUCAAGUUUGCCGUUAAAAUCAGUGGGUUAAACAUUGAAAGGCGGUGGAAACUGAAUAGCUAGAGUGUGGUAGGGGUAGAGGGAAUCCCCCUUUAACCUUGAAAUCGUAGAGAUUGGGAAGAACCCCGGUGGCGAAAGCGCUCUUAUGGGGCACAAACUGCCAUUAAGAGACGAAGC